AGCCACUUACACCUUCAAAAACAGCAACCCAUUUACUUCGUCAGUUCCUCCAGUCAAUACACAUAUGCCCAUUGAAUGUGUCGAAACCUCCGUCCUCAAAAAACCUAUUGCCUCUCUCUCUCUCUCUUCUCACAAAACGUGAAACCAUCUCUUCUCUAUCACUUAUUUACUCUCUCCUCCGUUCUCCGUCCUAGUCUUCUGGCAAACUCCUCUGCGAAAUUGAAAUGGGUUUGUUUGUAAUUGCGAGUUUCUCUUAGAUUUAGGGUUCGUAGGGUUCCAUUCUCUUAGAUGGUUCAUCUUCCUCUUCAGCGACAGGGGAGAUAGAGUGCCCAAGAUCCACUUUCUCUCUCCUCCUCGCCUUCAAACUAGGUUCAAUUGAAGAGAUACUGAAGAUGAAGGUAUCCGAGACGGCAGAGGCGAAUGUACUGUGCUACGCCGACGAGGUGGCACUAUGCUGGGUUAAUUUGUACAUGUUUAAAUAUUCGCAGAUUGAGGUCUAAGAUACGGCACCACUAUCUAUAGAAUCGAUAAGAGCAGCAGAGAAAGCAUGAGACCCUUAUCGACCCUAUUAACAAUGCCCUUAUUCUUCGUUUUGUUUGACGGAGGAGGAGGAAGGACUUGUCACGGUGGCAUCAUCCUCCGCCCCAAAAAGGUAUUAUUUUCUUUCAAUUGGUAAAAAGCCGGCUUUUUUUCGUUGAAUUUUACAACAACGAAGAAGAAGCUGUAGCCACAGAUCGAGCUAGAAUCCAUGGGCGAGGUGGCGGAAGCCCUAUGAGAGGACCAAAUCUCGACCGCAGCUCUCGUCCGUCGUCCUUAUGAUUGUUGUUGCUUUUCUUUUCGUCUCUGGUGGCUUGCUUUCCUGUUAGUUAUCAUACUGCUAUGGUAGGUCCACUUGAUCGACGGGCCAUGAAGAACAAAACCAAUUUCCUCUGAGAGGUAAGUUUGCUUCUUCCCCUUCCACUUUCUCUAAAGAUCAAACUCCACAACUGAGAGAGAUCUUGCUAGAGAUGAAGAAGCUAGCCAGAACAUUCAGAAAGUCUGAGGACGAUGAGCUUUCUCUUCCUACUCAUGGAUGUCCUGACUCCCAUGGAUUCCCAAGAACAAGAGGAACUAGUUCGAUCGUUUGAAAGGAACCAAGCUCAACAAAGUCGUUUCUGGAACUGGUCUGCAUCACUUAUUUUCUGCUUCACUGCGUUUCGUAUGUACUCAAUCUUUCAGCAGGUUUCAUAUCCCUGGGAAUUGGUAUGAGUAUCUCCAUCUCAAAAACGGGGAUCAAUUUCUAUUAUUACAAAUGUGGUGCAUGUGUGGAUCAUUCUUGAUAUUAUUUAUGGUAUUUGUUUUCGUGAUUAGUAUUAGGAGAUAUUAGUACUAGGAGCAUCUAUCUCUCUACUGUCUCUGUUUAUGUUUCAUUUAAUUGGACUGGUGGUUGAAAACUGACUUUAUUAGGACCGCUAGGACAUAUUUCUAUGUGUUUAAUGAUUAUGGAAUACAACAUGCACCUAUAUGUAACUCCUCAUAAUUAACUGCACGUCUGCACCUAGAUGUUUUCCUUGGCUCGUAAUAGGAUAUAGCUCAUAACUGAUUCAGGAGGGGAUUUCUUAGUGGGAUCAGAGGGUCUUGGAGUUAGGAGGGAGUGUUUGAUGGAUAGGGAAUGGUUCCGUCUGUGUAUUGUGGUUUAUAUUGAGACAUGGGAAAGACAUGUCUUUUGAGAAUGCAGAGAUCCCAUUUGGAGUUCUAAAGCACUAUAUUAUCUGCACCUUGCCUAGGGGUCAGUUGGUGAAGAGAUCGAGUGCUUUAAUAUUUAGGCUAUUGAUGAUUGUAGACACUUGCCGUAUACUGCAUCUGAACUGUAUUGAUAGACAAAAAUAUGCUGUCUAUAAACCAAAACAACUUCAAGAAAUGACUGGGCACUCUUUUCCCUUUUUCCUCUUAGGAAGAAACCUUCUAGACAAUUUAAACAUUGUUUUUCACUAAUUGGCUUCAAUAGUUCACAGAGUUGUUGAUCAAUUUAUAAUCUUUUAAGUUUCCUUUUGACUAGCAAUGCUCAGUUGCUCAGAUCAUAACAAAAGGCCAUUAGACUAACUUGCUAGUUAAAUAAUAAUGGCAACUAUCCAGCAAUUUCAUACCAUUAAGUUUUCCAGACACGUCGCUAAAAUACAGCAUAAAAUUGAAUUACUUUAUUGCAAUGCUGUUCUUUAGAGAAAACACACUGCUUUGAUGUUGUUGUACUUGUUUCUAUAAUAUCACAAUAGCCCUUAUUAAUAUGAAAGUCAUUAGUCAGGGUCACUUUACUCUAGACCCACGGUCCCUCCCCCCUCUCUUCUUUACUUUAUAUUUUUAGCUUAUUUUUUCUUCUUGUGGUUCCUUUCUUCAGUUUUUAAGUAUACCUCGAUCUUCCAAACAAGACUAGAGAGGCCAUUAUUCUCAAGUAAAAAGGAAGAAGAAAAAGCAAAAAAACCUCAUCUGAAGAUCUCCAAAUGAUGACUUGAGAUUCAUUUUCAAAUGCAACUUUUUUACACCAUAUAUGAGAUUUUGAGUUAAAGGAGUGCUAAUAGGGUUUAUAAUACGUGUAUUUGGGUAGAAGAAGAUUAGUUUGUGAAGAUAGAAUAGUUUUCUUUCAAAGUUGAAAUAGCAAUUUCCAUGUUGGCCUUUCUCCACAAGUUUGCAAUAAUAUAGAAAUAACUCAAAGAUACCAAGCAACAGUAUGACUACUUCAAUGAUAUUUUGGUUACAAAAGAAAAAGGUUUUGCCUCGAGUUUGUUGAUCCAGGAAGAACAGCUAGUGUCGUCAAUAUUUUGACCAAUUGCCAAAAACUUGAUCCCUAGUAUUUUCCAAUUAUUGCAAAUUUAUGUCAUUGUUGAUGCAGUUUGAGUUUAAAUGUUGUUUUUUUUUUCCCUUUCUUUGGUCUUAAACUUUUAUUUCGGCUUUUUGAUAGCUAAAGUAAUAAACUUAACAUAUUUUCCUGUAAUACAGGCAAUAUGUAUAUGUGGCCAUUAAUGGUCUCGAUUAAUAUUCAAUCACACUUUUCUGUAAUUAUUCAAUGUUUUUAGUAGUAUACUAAUGAUAUCAUGCAUGAAUUGAAUGAUUUUGAACAUUGUCUUUUAUUUCUACUUUCUUGGUUUGUGAAUUUUUGGAGAUGUAAGACUUGGUUGAUUUUUUUAUUGCUGUUGGGCUAUUAAGGAAGUAGAAAAGUUCAUCAAUAAGUGAACAUACCUGACUUAGCUGUGUCAAUUUAGCACUACAAGAACAUCAACAUAUGCCCAUUAUUUUUGGACUGCUUUUGAUUUUUCUAUAUCCUUUAUUAGGUUUCUUAGCUGAAUUAACUUAGGGUUUGAAUGUAAAUGUUGUAGUGAUCAGCCAACAUUAUCACCGUCCAUGCUUUAGUUUUACUACCUUGUAACAUAAUUGAGCACACAGUUGCCUCUAUUAUGUGCUCACUUUUACAUCUUUCCACUUUUCCUGCCCCUCUAGUUUCUGUUCUUGUUAAAUUGAGUGUAACAUGGUUCCUAGUAUUUAGAGUGAAAUGCAUUCCAUAGUCUGCUUCUGAAAGUAAGGUCUAAACUCGUCUCUUUAGAAGAAAUCGACUCUUAUAAUUAGAGGUAUGUGUCAUUGAUAAUUAUGAAAUUUAUGCUUCUCCUUUGGGAACUAACUAAAGGAAAAGAAAACAAAUUCAUACUACAUGGUAGGUUCAGGUAAGUUUAGCCAUUGUUUUGUCUGUAGAAGGCACUUUCAUGAUACUGCAAGUAUGUAAUUGUGAAGUGAGUGUGUCAGUCUAUGUAUGAAAGGGAAUGUCUUCUUAAUUGAACUGGUGAGUUGCAUGCCUCACAUGACUGUUCUUUUUCAGUUGAGUUGCUGGUAUAAUUCAUGUAUAACAUAUGGGAACUAAUAUAUGGUACUAAUCAUUUAAGUAAUUCAACUUCACUACACAUUCAAAUGUAAGUUUGGAUUUGGAGGUAUUGAUUUUCAUUAUCAAGCUCGAACCUUUAGUAGUAUAUCCUCAUGUGGUUUGGUGAUAGAAAUGACCUGUACAAUUUGUUGUCUGCAAGUAUGAGAGCUGAUAUAAGCAAAAGGCUGCCCUGCAUUGAGAAUGAGAGCUCGACCCAUCACUUAAAGAUCUUGCAGGAGAGUUGGAAGGAGCCAUCAAGUUGGUUGAAGGAAAGCAUUUUGUUAAGUUCUGCUGAUACAUAUAUUCACAUGCAGCAACUGCGUAUGUGCAUGUUUUAUAUUGUAUCAGCUUUUGCUUUUUUAAAUUGUUAGUUAGAAUGCAGCAACCAUCAAGCUAGCUAGAAUGCUUUCUUUUUUUGUUACAUGGUAUAGAUGAAUGUAUGGAUGAUUGAUAAAUGCUAGCUCUUU
Rosa chinensis is the source of this 4353-nucleotide long non-coding RNA. RefSeq lists it as uncharacterized. The transcript has 2 exons. Lineage: Eukaryota; Viridiplantae; Streptophyta; Magnoliopsida; Rosales; Rosaceae. The record is from RefSeq and is a predicted model, not a curated record.